This is a non-coding RNA of Balearica pavonina (black crowned-crane), 45 nucleotides long. Lineage: Eukaryota; Metazoa; Chordata; Aves; Gruiformes; Gruidae. The record is from Rfam.
CCAACGGCUCUUUUCAGAGCCACCCACUUAAUUACUAAAGAGCUG